This 253-nucleotide ribosomal RNA is filed under the name uncultured bacterium. Its description in RNAcentral is "partial 16S ribosomal RNA". It matches the Rfam family "Bacterial small subunit ribosomal RNA", at positions 524 to 776 of the family's 1533-position model. The record is from RNAcentral.
UACGUAGGGGGCAAGCGUUGUCCGGAAUCAUUGGGCGUAAAGAGCGUGUAGGCGGCUUGGUAAGUCCGCUGUGAAAGUCCAGGGCUCAACCCUGGAAUGCCGGUGGAAACUGUCAAGCUUGAGUCCGGAAGAGGCGAGUGGAAUUCCUGGUGUAGCGGUGAAAUGCGCAGAUAUCAGGAGGAACACCAGUGGCGAAGGCAGCUCGCUGGGACGGUACUGACGCUGAGACGCGAAAGCGUGGGGAGCAAACAGG